CCUACGGGGGACAGCAGUGGGGGAUAUUGCACAAUGGGGGGAACCCUGAUGCAGCGACGCCGCGUGGGUGAAGGAGUGCUUCGGCAUGUAAAGCCCUAUCGGCAGGGAAGAAGCAAGACGGUACCUGACUAAGAAGCCCCGGCUAACUACGUGCCAGCAGCCGCGGUAAUACGGAGGGGGCGCGGGUUAUCCGGAUUCACUGGGUGUAAAGGGAGCCUAGACGGCCAUGCAAGCCAGGGGUGAAAGCCCGGGGCCCAACCCCGGGACUGCCGUUGGAACUGGAUGGCUGGAGGGGGGGAGGGGCAGGCGGAAUGCCUGGUGUAGCGGUGAAAUGCGUAGAUAUCAGGAGGAACACCGGCGGCGAAGGCGGCCUGCUGG
Molecule: ribosomal RNA, 378 nt
Filed under: uncultured bacterium
Lineage: Bacteria
Description: partial 16S ribosomal RNA
Rfam family: Bacterial small subunit ribosomal RNA
Source: RNAcentral